Molecule: transfer RNA, 58 nt
Filed under: Staphylococcus aureus DAR5898
Lineage: Bacteria; Bacillati; Bacillota; Bacilli; Caryophanales; Staphylococcaceae
Description: tRNA-Gln
Rfam family: tRNA
About the family: Transfer RNA (tRNA) molecules are approximately 80 nucleotides in length. Their secondary structure includes four short double-helical elements and three loops (D, anti-codon, and T loops). Further hydrogen bonds mediate the characteristic L-shaped molecular structure. tRNAs have two regions of fundamental functional importance: the anti-codon, which is responsible for specific mRNA codon recognition, and the 3' end, to which the tRNAs corresponding amino acid is attached (by aminoacyl-tRNA synthetases). tRNAs cope with the degeneracy of the genetic code in two manners: having more than one tRNA (with a specific anti-codon) for a particular amino acid; and 'wobble' base-pairing, i.e. permitting non-standard base-pairing at the 3rd anti-codon position.
Source: RNAcentral
GCGGUAAGGCAACGGACUUUGACUCCGUCACUCGUUGGUUCGAAUCCAGCUAGCCCAG